UACGGAGGGUGCAAACGUUGCUCGGAAUCAUUGGGCGUAAAGCGCACGUAGGCGGCUCGUUAAGUCGGGUGUGAAAGCCCUGGGCUCAACCCAGGAAGUGCAUUCGAAACUGGCGAGCUUGAAUAUGGAAGAGGGUCGCGGAAUUCCCGGUGUAGAGGUGAAAUUCGUAGAUAUCGGGAGGAACACCAGUGGCGAAGGCGGCGACCUGGGCCAAUAUUGACGCUGAGGUGCGAAAGCGUGGGGAGCAAACGGG
RNAcentral lists this ribosomal RNA (253 nucleotides) under uncultured bacterium. Its description in RNAcentral is "partial 16S ribosomal RNA". It matches the Rfam family "Bacterial small subunit ribosomal RNA", at positions 524 to 776 of the family's 1533-position model. The record is from RNAcentral.